This is an RNA transcript of Zonotrichia leucophrys gambelii, 1583 nucleotides long. It is a transcript of the gene named BLOC-1 related complex subunit 8, with no coding region annotated. The transcript is spliced from 6 exons. Lineage: Eukaryota; Metazoa; Chordata; Aves; Passeriformes; Passerellidae. The record is from RefSeq and is a predicted model, not a curated record.
GCUAAGCGGAACGUUGGUCCCUAGGCCGCGUUUCCAGCCGGGGCUGUUUUCCGUGCCCGGGGCGGUUUCGGGGGCGCGCUGGCGGAAGCGGAAGUGGUGGCGGGCGGGAUGGAGGAGCCGGAGAUGCAGCUGAAGGUGAAGAAAGUGACGGACAAGUUCACGGAGAGCCUGUACGUGCUGGCCAACGAGCCCUCGGUGGCGCUGUUCCGGCUGCAGGAGCACGUGCGGCGCUCGCUGCCCGAGCUGGCCCAGCACAAGUCGGACAUGCAGAGCUGGGAGGAGCAGAGCCAGGGAGCCAUUUACACCGUGGAGUACGCCUGCAGUGCCAUCAAGAGCAUGAGUGACAGCAGCGUUUACUUCAAGAGCAUCGACAGCCUGCUCAAGCAUUCCAUAGCCAUGAAGGAGCAGCUCAACGCUGCCCAGGGCCGCAGCACCAUCACCCCCCAAGCCAAGAAUCCUCCGGGCACUUCCUGAAUUUCUGAUUUUCCAUCCUGGAUUUCCCAACCUUGGGAAGAAGCCAAAAAAACCUCUGGGGCUGCACAGGUGGAGAAGCCCCUGAAUUCCCAGGAAAACACAAAAAAGAAGAGCUGGAAAAUCCCAAAUCCUGCUUUUUGGGACCUCUUUUCCAUGGAAAACAGGGGAAAUAUUUUUGCUCUCCUCCGUUAAUGAAGCGUUGGAAGAGGCUGAGGAGGCGCUGCUGGAAUUUCUCCAGCCCGGUGCUCCGCGCAGAGCCGGGCCUGAUUGGAUUCUCCAAUUAAGGGACAAAAAGGAGCUGUUGAAGCGUCGUCAUUCCCUUUCAGCGAGUUUUGACUGAAGUCAGAGAGGUCCCAAAAUUGCGUGAGCCACCCCACCAAGUCCAGUCGUCACCAAAAUCCUUUAAAAUCAGAUUAUCCCCGAGUUGUUUUUUAGUUUUAACCCAGGCGCUGGGCCAGGAGCCCCCAGCCCAUUCCAAAUCCAAGAUUUUCCAAUUAUGGAAAUGAAACCCCCUGGAUUGCGCAGCCAGGUUAAACCUGCCGGCCCCAAUUUCUGGAGUCUCUAAAACUCAAAUUAAAGGGCUCAGUUCCAGCCCUGGGGUUCACGGAGAGGAAUUUGGGGGAUUUUCCACCCAUUGCUCCCCACAGCCCCUUUUGGAGGGGACCCAGCAAAUCCUCACGGGGGUUUUGGGGCACGGGCGGAGUUGGCACCGGGACCCCUCAUUCCCUGAUCCCGCUGCGUCCUCCAGCCCUUCCCUUCUGCCCGGACCGCUCGGAGCAUCCCCGGUUCCCCCGGACCCCUCCGAGGAUUCCUGGAUCCCCCGGACCCUUCCGGGCAUUCCCGGUCCCUCCGGUUGCCCUGGACUCCUCCGGGCAUCCCCGGUUCCCCCGGACCCCUUAGAGGAUUUCCUGUUCCCCCGGAACCCUCCGGGCAUCCCCGGUCCCUCCAGCCCCGGUCCCCGUUUAUCCCGAGCCCCCCGGUCCCUCCAGCCCCGGUCCCCGUUUAUCCGAGCCCCUCCAUUCCCGUUCCCCGCCUCUCCCGCUCCCCCCGGUUCCCGGUGUCCCCGCCCGGCGCUCUCACCGCUCGGGCCCGCGCUGCCCCCGGCCCAG